RNAcentral lists this ribosomal RNA (460 nucleotides) under uncultured bacterium. RNAcentral describes it as "partial 16S ribosomal RNA". It matches the Rfam family "Bacterial small subunit ribosomal RNA", at positions 338 to 795 of the family's 1533-position model. The record is from RNAcentral.
CCUACGGGUGGCAGCAGUGAGGAAUAUUGGUCAAUGGGCUUACGCCUGAACCAGCCAAGUCGCGUGAGGGAAGACUGCCCUAUGGGUUGUAAACCUCUUUUGUCAGGGAGCAAUUGGCGCUACGUGUAGCGUUAUCGAGAGUACCUGAAGAACAAGCAUCGGCUAACUCCGUGCCAGCAGCCGCGGUAAUACGGAGGAUGCGAGCGUUAUCGGGAUUUAUUUGGUUUUAAGGGUGCGUAGGCGGAAUGCCAAGUCAGCGGUAAAAUCGCGGGGCUAACCCUCGCUGCGCCGUUGAAACUGGCGGUCUUGAGUGGACAAGAGGAAUGCGGAAUGCGUGGUGUAGCGGUGAAAUGCAUAGAUAUCACGCAGAACUCCGGUUGCGAAGGCAGCAUACCGGCGCCCAACUGACGCUGAAGCACGAAAGCAUGGGUAUCGAACAGGAUUAGAUACCCUUGUAGUC